GCCUCCCAAAGCGCUGGGAUUAUAGGCAUGGGUCACUGCACACCCAGCCCACAAUUUCACAUUUUAGUAUCUCAGGUCCUUUGUGAAUCAUUUGACACUACCUCAUUAUAAUAGAAUAUUCAACUAGAAGAUUUUAAACAAGAAAGAUUAAUUCACAUGACAAGAAGCUAAAGCUAGGAAAUUUCAGGUUUUGUUCAGCCAUCUCCCAGGUCUCCAAGCACCCAGUUCUUUCUAUCUUUCUGCUGUACCCACUGCAUGUUGGUUGAUCCUUGGUCUAGUCUCCUCAUGGUCACAGAAUGGCUGCUGGAGCUUCUCACAGCAUAUCAUCACCUGCUUACUUACAUUCAGAGGCAGAAAACUGGCAAGUUUUACUUUUUUUUAUUUUUAUUUUUUGUCAGGAAAAAGCUUUACAUAAGCCUCAAUUAGUGUCUUUCUUAGGUCUGCCUGGACAAUAUUGGGUCACCUGUCAUCUCCAGAGGACCUGGGAAAGUGAAUCUUUAUUCAGUAUCUAUUCUGGGAUGUGAGCUUGGUCAAUCAGGAGGAAAGAGAAGGGGACCUGUGGAUGGACACUCAAGAGGCGGCUCCAGAAAAAGGAAAUGACAGCUGCACUACAAAUGGAAAACCGCGAUCACUUACUCACUAGAGAAGCAGGACCUCAGGAAGAAGCUCCAUAAGCUGCCAUGAGCACACAUGGAGGCUCCUGGAGAGGACGGUGAAGCCACCCCCGGGCAGAAUGGUGUCCAGGGGUCGAUGUCUUCUGCUUCUUUCUGCCUACCAAAUCACUCCUGGGUUCCCCUUAAACCAAGCUCUGACCAGUAGGCUCAGAGGCAAAUAGAUCAGGGAAAUGUACCGCCCAGCCUUAGAAGAAGAUGGUGGCACUGAUGUGUCAAGAGGAAAUAUAGCACCUAUAUAUAUGUACCAAGGGAAGAGGGGGGGAAGUGUUCAAAAUUACAUUUCGUUCAUUCAUCCAUUCAAAAAAUACUUAACAAUCACCUGCUUUAUAGCAGUCACUGUCUUGCACCGGGAUAUAACACGGUACAAACUAGGUGCGAUCUUUGCGAUUAUUAGGUUUAUUGGUAGCAGUUGUUGCUGUUACAUCUCACUGCUCUCAUUGCAAAUGUUGAUGGUGGCUUUUACGUCUGUGAAAAUAAAAAGCAUGACCUUUUGAUAGUUGUUUGCUGUAUGGAAGCCUAUUUUACUAUGUUUGCAUGCAAACUUCUAUCUGACCUUAAGCUAAUGGGAGCUUGUAAAGAGGUGGAAUCGAAUGUAAAGUUUGAAAAGACAAGAA
Molecule: long non-coding RNA, 1288 nt
Organism: Homo sapiens (human)
Lineage: Eukaryota; Metazoa; Chordata; Mammalia; Primates; Hominidae
Exons: 3
Source: RefSeq, a predicted model, not a curated record